GGGUAACCUGCCUUAUAGUGGGGGAUAGCCUUUCGAAAGGAAGAUUAAUACCGCAUAAGAUUGUAGUAUCGCAUGAUAUAGCAAUUAAAGGAGCAAUUCGCUAUAAGAUGGACCCGCGUCGCAUUAGCUAGUUGGUGAGGUAAUGGCUCACCAAGGCGACGAUGCGUAGCCGACCUGAGAGGGUGAUCGGCCACAUUGGGACUGAGACACGGCCCAGACUCCUACGGGAGGCAGCAUG
This 238-nucleotide ribosomal RNA is filed under the name uncultured bacterium. RNAcentral describes it as "partial 16S ribosomal RNA". It matches the Rfam family "Bacterial small subunit ribosomal RNA", at positions 119 to 353 of the family's 1533-position model. The record is from RNAcentral.